GACGAACGCUGGCGGCGUGCUUAACACAUGCAAGUCGAACGGAAAGGCCCCUUUGGGGGUACUCGAGUGGCGCACGGGUGUGUAACACGUGAGUAACCUGCCCUUGACUUCGGGAUAACUUCAGGAAACUGGGGCUAAUACCGGAUAGGAAUCCUUGCUGCAUGGUGGGGGUUGGAAAGCUUCGGCGGUUUUGGAUGGACUCGCGGCUUAUCAGCUUGUUGGUGGGGUAGUGGCUUACCAAGGCUUUGACGGGUAGCCGGCCUGAGAGGGCGACCGGCCACAUUGGGACUGAGAUACGGCCCAGACUCCUACGGGAGGCAGCGGUGGGGAAUAUUGCACAAUGGGCGGAAGCCUGAUGCAGCAACGCCGCGUGCGGGAUGACGGCCUUCGGGUUGUAAACCGCUUUCAGCAGGGGCGAAGCUUGUGGUGACGGUACCUGCAGAAGAAGCACCGGCUAACUACGUG
RNAcentral lists this ribosomal RNA (465 nucleotides) under uncultured bacterium. RNAcentral describes it as "partial 16S ribosomal RNA". It matches the Rfam family "Bacterial small subunit ribosomal RNA", at positions 28 to 507 of the family's 1533-position model. The record is from RNAcentral.